CAUUAAGAAGCUAUGAACCAGCGUUAGCCUUUUAAGCUAAAGAGAGAGGUAACCCGCCUCCUUAAUGA
Molecule: transfer RNA, 68 nt
Filed under: Melanocharis longicauda
Lineage: Eukaryota; Metazoa; Chordata; Aves; Passeriformes; Melanocharitidae
Description: tRNA-Lys
Source: RNAcentral